GGGGAAUUUUGGACAAUGGGGGAAACCCUGAUCCAGCCAUCCCGCGUGUGCGAUGAAGGCCUUCGGGUUGUAAAGCACUUUUGGCAGGAAAGAAACGUCGCGGGUUAAUACCCUGCGAAACUGACGGUACCUGCAGAAUAAGCACCGGCUAACUACGUGCCAGCAGCCGCGGUAAUACGUAGGGUGCAAGCGUUAAUCGGAAUUACUGGGCGUAAAGCGUGCGCAGGCGGUUCGGAAAGACAGAGGUGAAAUCCCCGGGCUCAACCUGGGAACUGCCUUUGUGACUGCAAAGCUGGAGUGCGGCAGAGGGGGAUGGAAUUCCGCGUGUAGCAGUGAAAUGCGUAGAUAUGCGGAGGAACACCGAUGGCGAAGGCAAUCCCCUGGGCCUGCACUGACGCUCAUGCACGAAAGCGUGGGGAGCAAACA
This 426-nucleotide ribosomal RNA is filed under the name uncultured Burkholderiales bacterium. Its description in RNAcentral is "bacterial SSU rRNA". It matches the Rfam family "Bacterial small subunit ribosomal RNA", at positions 356 to 774 of the family's 1533-position model. Lineage: Bacteria; Pseudomonadati; Pseudomonadota; Betaproteobacteria; Burkholderiales. The record is from RNAcentral.